This 419-nucleotide ribosomal RNA is filed under the name bacterium. Its description in RNAcentral is "partial 16S ribosomal RNA". It matches the Rfam family "Bacterial small subunit ribosomal RNA", at positions 355 to 776 of the family's 1533-position model. The record is from RNAcentral.
UGGGGGAUAUUGCACAAUGGGCGAAAGCCUGAUGCAGCGACGCCGCGUAGGGGAUGAAGGCCUUCGGGUUGUAAACUUCUUUUGCUCUGAACAAGGCGCACCAUGGGGUGUGUUGAGUGUAGGGGUUGAUUAGCGCCGGCUAACUACGUGCCAGCAGCCGCGGUAAUACGUAGGGCGCGAGCGUUGUCCGGAAUUAUUGGGCGUAAAGGGCUUGUAGGUGGCUGGUUGCGUCUGUCGUGAAAGCUCAUGGCUUAACUGUGGGUUUGCGGUGGGUACGGGCUGGCUUGAGUGCAGUAGGGGAGGCUGGAAUUCCUGGUGUAGCGGUGGAAUGCGCAGAUAUCAGGAGGAAUACCGGUGGCGAAGGCGGGUCUCUGGGCUGUUACUGACACUGAGGAGCGAAAGCAUGGGGAGCGAACAGG